GUAGGUGGCAAGCGUUGUCCGGAAUUAUUGGGCGUAAAGCGCGCGCAGGCGGUCCUUUAAGUCUGAUGUGAGAGCCCACGGCUCAACCGUGGAGGGUCAUUGGAAACUGGGGGACUUGAGUACAGAAGAGGAAAGCGGAAUUCCAAGUGUAGCGGUGAAAUGCGUAGAGAUUUGGAGGAACACCAGUGGCGAAGGCGGCUUUCUGGUCUGUAACUGACGCUGAGGCGCGAAAGCGUGGGGAGCAAACAGGGAUUAGAUACCCUGGUAGUCCACGCCGUAAACGAUGAGUGCUAAGUGUUAGGGGGUUUCCCGCCCCUUAGUGCUGCAGCUAACGCAUUAAGCACUCCGCCUGGGGAGUACGGCCGCAAGGCUG
RNAcentral lists this ribosomal RNA (373 nucleotides) under uncultured organism. RNAcentral's name for it is "partial 16S ribosomal RNA". It matches the Rfam family "Bacterial small subunit ribosomal RNA", at positions 527 to 896 of the family's 1533-position model. The record is from RNAcentral.